RNAcentral lists this long non-coding RNA (377 nucleotides) under Olea europaea (common olive). RNAcentral describes it as "long non-coding RNA (OEUR_LNC013058)". Lineage: Eukaryota; Viridiplantae; Streptophyta; Magnoliopsida; Lamiales; Oleaceae. The record is from RNAcentral.
GAUUAGUAUAGCUUGGUACCUCUACCAUAAAUUCUUAUUAUUUCAUGAAAUAAAUCAAUGUGUGCUCCAUCUUAUGUAAUUCUUUCUUAAAUUUUUAUUAUUUCAUGAAUUCCUAUUCCCCAAAAAAUUGGAAACUGAAUUAUAAUUUGUGUAAUUAUGAUUUGAUGAAAUUAUGAUUUAUUGUUUGUAUUUGCAGUUCAUCAUUUCUGUUGGUUAAUUAUACUUUGCGAACUUUUCCACUGGACUGUUGAAGAUGGCAAAGGUAUAUUUCUUUUAAUUUUAUUUUUAAAAUAUCAAUUUGUUUGUCUGAAAUAUACUGCGCAAUGUUUCAUUUCUUCUAAUGCUUUUAUUGUGCUCUGAAAUCGAAUUAAUUUUCU